Molecule: unclassified non-coding RNA, 253 nt
Filed under: uncultured Micrococcales bacterium
Lineage: Bacteria; Bacillati; Actinomycetota; Actinomycetes; Micrococcales
Description: contains 16S-23S intergenic spacer region
Rfam family: Bacterial small subunit ribosomal RNA
Source: RNAcentral
UACGUAGGGCGCAAGCGUUGUCCGGAAUUAUUGGGCGUAAAGAGCUCGUAGGCGGUUUGUCGCGUCUGGUGUGAAAUCCCGAGGCUCAACUUCGGGCUUGCAUCGGGUACGGGCAGACUAGAGUGCGGUAGGGGAGACUGGAAUUCCUGGUGUAGCGGUGGAAUGCGCAGAUAUCAGGAGGAACACCGAUGGCGAAGGCAGGUCUCUGGGCCGCAACUGACGCUGAGGAGCGAAAGCAUGGGGAGCGAACAGG